UCUGGUGCUUCGUCGCAGAGGUCACACCCGUUCUCAUUCCGAACACGGCAGUUAAGCCUCCGAGAACCGAUGGUAGUCGCAAGGCAAGAGUAGGUAGUCGCCAGAA
RNAcentral lists this ribosomal RNA (106 nucleotides) under bacterium. The record is from RNAcentral.